CAGCAGCCACGGUAACACGUAGGGUGCAAGCGUUAAUCGGAAUUACUGGGCGUAAAGCGUGCGCAGGCGGUUAUAUAAGACAGAUGUGAAAUCCCCGGGCUCAACCUGGGAACUGCAUUUGUGACUGUAUAGCUAGAGUACGGCAGAGGGGGAUGGAAUUCCGCGUGUAGCAGUGAAAUGCGUAGAUAUGCGGAGGAACACCGAUGGCGAAGGCAAUCCCCUGGGCCUGUACUGACGCUCAUGCACGAAAGCGUGGGGAGCAAACAGGAUUAGAUACCCCGGUAGUCCCUGUCUCUUAUAC
This 301-nucleotide ribosomal RNA is filed under the name uncultured bacterium. RNAcentral's name for it is "partial 16S ribosomal RNA". It matches the Rfam family "Bacterial small subunit ribosomal RNA", at positions 509 to 807 of the family's 1533-position model. The record is from RNAcentral.